GCAAUAAUUUCACACGUAAGAUAACUCUGACAGCAGAGAUAACAUCAUUUAAAUGCGCUCAAGCAUAGUGGUCACGCGGGGCCCCAACUCCGGACGCUCUUGCGCAGUGUCCUGUAGAAUAACAGCUAGGCUAUAGGCUACACGGCUGUGCACGUUAAGAUAGCCUACCAGCCUGACAUUUUCAUUCUGCGCAGUUCAUUUAUAGAAAUCUAGUCACAACGCCUGCUGAAUUUGGAGGUUGUGAUUUCUUGGGUGCAUUUAUUACGGUCUCACUCUGACUCUAUUCUCAAUCAGAUAUUAUCAGGGCGCUGUGUGAGUGAUGUGGGUUCCUCUCUAGGAAAACAGUUGCACCGGUCAGGCAGCAGGUAAGCAGGAUCGAGACGCAGGCAGCUGUCCCGUUAACUGGGCAGUCUGCAUCACGCGUACAGAUGCUCUUCUAGUAGCCAAUUUAUUUAAAUGAGCUAAACACACAUCUCAAGGAUACGUUUACUGGAAAUAAGGCACUAGGUUACUAGGUCUUUUCACGUUUUAUGCCACUAAACUCGCGUACCGGGACCGGCGCCAGGUUUAUUACCUUUGACAGCUCGCGCAACCGUCACUGACUGCUGUCAUUCUCCACGGUAUGUACUUGUCUCUCCACGGUAUCUAUUUGUCAUUCCCCGAGGCGUAGUAUAUAUUUCAGACGCGUCGAAGAAAACCGUAUACCGUGAAGUCCUGUCUUUUUGAGGAUUGAAAGAAAGCGUAGAUGUUUCUGUCCGUAUCCGGGACCGAUUCAAUUGGAUAAGUCUAUUUUACCAUGCCCUGCCUUGCGCCAGGUUGAGACCGAUUCCUUGUACACCUUUUAGAUAAAAGGUAAUGUAUUUGUCUGUGUGCGCAACCAUACAGCAGGCAUCUGUCUACUGGCUAUGUGAUUAUUAUUGUAUGUUGAUUGAUGAUCAUACAUUCUUGUUUUUUAUAUUCUAUGAUGUCAGUGUGCCCCAGCAGAGAGGUGCAUGGCUGAGGAGAGCUGUAUUAAGUGAUGUUAUAGAUCUGUUAUAAACUUUGAUGUGUGACAGAUGGGUAGAAUAGAAUCCCCAGGCCAUUACACUCUUAAUCCACCUAUUUGACUCCACCUCUGCUGAAAUAGCCAUUAUCAACAACAUUUGUGGUGGCUUUUCACUUUCCAAUAUAUUGAUGUAUUGACACACCUUCAAUGACCACAACCACAAUCUAUUCUGUUUAGGCUACCCUUGCACAAGCAAGUGGUCACAUGUGCCCUUCAAUUUUCAGAGCCACUCUGAAUGUCAUCAAUAAAUUAAGGGGGUCAGGGCCAGCUCUAGUAUUUUGGGGGCCCUAAGUGAGAUUUGGUUGUGACUGUCAGUGACUGACAAAACAAAACAAUUUUUGCCUGGAGCCGGCCCUGAGGAGGGUAUUUUUUCUUCUUCUGUAGGUUAGAGGACAAACAAUGUGGUUGGUAAGUGAGCUGUCACACCUGCCACUGGCCUAUAGGCUACUUCUCAUAGAGAGGGGGACUAUGUAGACCACUAUAUGGCUCAUCUGUUGACAUUUGUGUUGUGCGCUGUGUCCCUCUAUAUCUGCUGCUGCAGUGGGUUAGUGUUGCAUCUCUAAGCACACACUCUCGCUGCCACAGAAAGAGUGUGUGUUAGAGUGUAUUAGAGAGAGACCUAGCUAGUUCUACCUGAGGUAGAGGAGCAUGAUAUAUUGGUUUCAUGCACAGAAAGCCAAUCUUCCCCCCUCCAUCUCCAAAACAUACAGUAGUUGAAAGGGAAGACACAAGGAGGGAAUGGGGUAGAAAGGGGGUUGGGGGACUGAAAUAUGUUGCUAAGCAACAGGGAAGUAGACCAGGAUGGGGGAGAAAGAUGGUACCCACCAGCUUGCCUGUGGUUUAGUAUGGUGAUGAUGUUAGCAGUGGUGUCUGAGGACUAGGGGGCAGGAGGUGGACAGGUACUCAAUGUGAGCCAGCUCCCCCCACCCGCUUCUGGCUCCAUGCCAAUCCCCCCUCUUGUCGGGCCACAGGGCUCUGUGAUAGAUGGAGAGAUGGUCUGUGACCAGAGGGAGGACGAGGGAGGGGGUUGUGAAGGACAAACAAACACAGGUCACUCAUCUUCUCAUUCUACAUUGGUAUCAGUUACACAACAGAGGAGACUGGUGGGAGGAGCUAUAGGAGGACAGGCUCAUUGUAAUGGCUGGAAUGGAUUCAAUGGAACAGAGUUAAACACGCUGUUUCCAUGUGUUGGAUGUGUUUGGUACCAUUCCAUUGAUUCAUUUUCAGCCAUUACAAUGAACCUGUCCUUCUAUAGCUUGUCUCACCAGCCUCCUCUAUUACACACCCAGCCCAGCAGACUGCAUAUUCCUCUCUUUAUCUCACAAUCGCUCUCCCAUCCCUUCACCAUGAUUUGUGGUUACUAACCAGGUUGAUGGAUCAAAUGCAGCAUAAACAAAGCAGCACAGAUCCAGCCAGACCUUCUGGACAACCUGGGAGGAAUACUUUUCCAGCACCUGCUCUACCCCGGCGACCAACAGCUCAGGACACCUCUAUCCCCAGUCCCACAGGGGGGUCUGGGAAACUCCCAGGACUGGCCUCAGGUGUACGUCAGAUGCCAGACCAGGUGAGGCUGGAGCAUGUACAACCUGGGUCCAGUCCUGCAGUUCCAGUCUAUUUCAGCCGUCCCAGACCUACUGCACUAAAUUCCUCCAGAGAUUCAGAGGCUGAUAUGAAGGAUAAGGCCUCUAUUCCAAACCGCAUUCCUGGACCACACAGCUCCAUCUCCCUGUCCCAGUCCCCUACAGAGUCUUCCCUGUUGUCCCACAGCCCUCAGAGUCCUCACAGCACUCAGCCUUACACCGGCCAGCCUUACCUCAUCCCCCAGCCUCACCUGCCUCAGCCCUGCCUCACCCCACCAUCCAGCCUCAGCCCCAAACCAGGCUCCAGUCCACAGUCCCAGAGGACCAGCUCCCCUCUGGGCGCUAUGGAGAAUCAGCCACAGAUUGAAGGAGAAAUGGAUCACGGUUUCAGGGUGCACAUUGUCACAUGGAAUGUGGGCUCUGCUGUUCCCCCUGAUGACGUCACAUCUCUGUUUGGGCCGCAUGCUGGCGAUGGGAGUACAGACAUGUUUAUCAUUGGGCUUCAGGAAAUGAAUUCUAUGAUCAACAAGCGGCUGAAGGACGCUCUCUUCCACGACCAGUGGAGUGAGCUCUGCAUGGACACACUCAGUCGCUUUGGAUAUGUGCUGGUGGCGUCCCAGCGUAUGCAGGGGGUUCUGUUGCUGGUGUUCUCUAAAUUCUGCCAUCUUCCAUUCCUGAGGGGGGUGCAGACAGAGAAAACACGCACAGGCCUCGGGGGCUACUGGGGUAAUAAAGGGGGUGUAAGUGCGAGGAUGACGAUGUUCGGCCACCCGGUGUGUUUCCUGAACUGUCACCUGCCGGCUCACAUGCGGAACCUGGAGCAGCGCAUGGAGGACUUUGAGAGCAUCCUGCAGCAACAGCAGUUUGAUGGCGCGACCGCCUCGGGUGUGCUGGACCACGACGUGGUGUUCUGGUUUGGGGAUCUUAACUUCCGCAUCGAGAACUAUGACAUUCAUGUGGUGAAGAGUGCCAUUGACAGCAAUAAGCUCCCUUUGCUGUGGGAGCGAGACCAGCUCAACAUAGCUAAAAACAGUGAGUCCAUCUUAGAUGGCUUCUUGGAAGGCCCUCUCAAAUUCCCCCCCACAUAUAAGUUUGAUGUGGGGACACACACAUACGACACCAGCAGUAAGAAGCGAAAGCCAGCAUGGACAGACCGUAUCUUGUGGCGUCUGCGUUGUACGGGCUCCCCUGUUCCUACCCACAAUGCCGCUCUGCAGCGUGGCCUAACCUCGUGGCUGGGUGGGGCAACCAAGGUGGUGCAACACUCCUACCGCAGUCACAUGGGCUACACCUGCAGUGACCACAAACCGGUCUCUGCUGUAUUCUCAUUACAUUUCCCAUUCAAAGUGGACCUUCCUCUUGUAACGUUAGAGUAUGAGAAGGAGUGGACUAAGGUUUCUGAUGCUACAGUCAGAUUCACUGUGAGGUCCAACUUCCAGCGCAGCUCAUGGGACUGGGUGGCAAUAUACAAGGUUGGGUUCAAACAUCACAAGGACUAUGUAGCAUAUGUGUGGGCCAAGGCAGAUCAUGGGUCACAGGUGACAUUUACAGAGGAGGAUUUACCCAGGGAUGCAGGGGAAUACAUUUUGGGUUUCUAUAGCAACAACAUGAAUACUAUUAUCGGAGUGACAUUGCCCUUUCAGAUCCAUGUUCCUGUGCGCAGCCCGACAGCCCCACCAGUAUUCCGCUCAGACAGUUCUGACGUCAGCUCGGAGGAUGACAGCACACUGGUCCUGCUGGCCCCUGCUAGCUCCCGCAGCCCAAGCCCUGGAAAAAGCAAACACCACCAUCGUCACCGCCGCAGCCGCAGUCCUGCUCACUCCAACACCCCCAUGCCCUCCCUGCAGGGCCUCAGCUUGCACCCUCGUCCCCUAGAGGGCCUACCAAGCAGCCGCUCGCCCUGCUCUGCAGCUAAGAAGGAGCGCCUGGUCUCCCCCCAGGACACACUGCCAUCGCCCAUCAGCCCACUCACGCCCCGCAGCCCUGUGUCACCCGGGGGCGGGGUCUCAGCCCCAGAGGCUCUGAUUGCUGCCAUCCUGGGGGAACACAGGCCAACUCAGGUCACCCCGACAGGGGGCAGGUCACCAGGCAAGACUGGAGAGACAAGUUUAUGAGAAGCCCAAGCAACAAUCUCUGUGGGGUCAUGAAUGUGCACAGACAUUAAGAUAAGACUGUUGAAAUGAGGCCAGUAAAGACUAUAUGAUGAUAGAAUCUAGGGCUGAUAUGUCACUGCGCUCAUAAAAGCAGUGCAUUGUAUGACUUGUAGUUUGCAACAUUCCACAUGGUAGUGAACCAGUUGUCUCUGUUUCUUAAUCUACUUAUCAGUGACUUCAUCCCAUACAUACACUGUGUGUACUUUGGAGUCAGGAGCUAGUCCAAAUCAAUAACAGUCUAAGUCUUACCCCAAGAAGUGCUUUUGCAGACUCAUAUCAAUACUCUAUGUACACAAUAAAUGUAAAGCCAAAGCAAGAGUAAAUCUGCAAUGUACAGUACUGCUGUUGUUAUGGUAAGUUUAAAGGAUGUCUAUAUGCCCUACCCAUAUGGGCCGGAUCACUUGGUGUGGUAUGAUAUCCAUCUUUCCAUGCCCCUAAGCGCCAACUGAUAUUAAACCACUCCAACCGGUUUGUUUCUGAAUCUCCCCAUCUUGUGUAUAUGUGUGUAGAAUUGUACAUGUUUGAGAGAAAAAAACAUUUCUGUCUUAUUUUCAGAGUGAUAAGGAUUCUAAUGAUUUAGUGGUUUGUUUUGGUUGUGGACAUAUUGGUUGUGUGAGGAAAAUAAAAUGAUAAUCCUGAGAAAAA
Molecule: non-coding RNA, 5423 nt
Organism: Oncorhynchus mykiss (rainbow trout)
Lineage: Eukaryota; Metazoa; Chordata; Actinopteri; Salmoniformes; Salmonidae
Source: RefSeq, a predicted model, not a curated record